Non-coding RNA from Fusarium poae, 95 nucleotides. The record is from Rfam. Lineage: Eukaryota; Fungi; Ascomycota; Sordariomycetes; Hypocreales; Nectriaceae.
CAACGUGAUGAACCUCAGAUAGGGACAGCUUAUACUUCGGUAUUUGAUGAGAACCUUGAGACGAAUAUUUUAGUAGAUGCUUCGAUUAGCUGAAU